Molecule: ribosomal RNA, 271 nt
Filed under: uncultured soil bacterium
Lineage: Bacteria
Description: partial 16S ribosomal RNA
Rfam family: Bacterial small subunit ribosomal RNA
Source: RNAcentral
AGAACGAACGCUGGCGGCAGGCUUAACACAUGCAAGUCGAACGCCCCGCAAGGGGAGUGGCAGACGGGUGAGUAACGCGUGGGAAUCUACCCAGAUCUUCGGAACAACUGAGGGAAACUUCAGCUAAUACCGGAUACGCCCUACGGGGAAAGAUUUAUCGGUUCUGGAUGAGCCCGCGUUGGAUUAGCUAGUUGGUGAGGUAAAGCUCACCAAGGCGACGAUCCAUAGCUGGUCUGAGAGGAUGAUCAGCCACACUGGGACUGAGACACGG